Molecule: ribosomal RNA, 158 nt
Filed under: uncultured bacterium
Lineage: Bacteria
Description: partial 16S ribosomal RNA
Rfam family: Bacterial small subunit ribosomal RNA
Source: RNAcentral
UGGGGAAUAUUNGACAAUGGGCGCAAGCUGAUCCAGCCAUGCCGCGUGUGUNAAGAAGGCUUUCGGGUUGUAAAGCACUUUCAGUGGGGAAGAAGGCUUACCGAUCAAUACCCGGYAAGAAGGACAUCACCCACAGAAGAAGCACCGGCUAACUCCGU